CUAAGGAUAAAGUUAUCAUCUUCAGUUUUGAGAGACUUAAGAAAGUUUUUCAUUUUUUAAGAUUCGGGCCUAUAGCUCAGCUGGUUAGAGCACACGCCUGAUAAGCGUGAGGUCGGUGGUUCAAGUCCAUUUAGGC
Molecule: transfer RNA, 136 nt
Filed under: Candidatus Phytoplasma solani
Lineage: Bacteria; Bacillati; Mycoplasmatota; Mollicutes; Acholeplasmatales; Acholeplasmataceae
Description: partial 16S-23S ribosomal RNA intergenic spacer
Rfam family: tRNA (bases 66-136)
About the family: Transfer RNA (tRNA) molecules are approximately 80 nucleotides in length.
Source: RNAcentral